GGCUCAGUUCAGUUCCCAUGGAUCGGACUGGGUUCGGCUUGGCUCAGCCCUGCUCCGCUCAGCCUGGCUCAGCCCAGCUCGGCUCGGCUUGGCUCAGAUUGAUUGGACUGGGUUCGGCUCAGCUUGGCUCAGCUCGGCUCGGUUCGGAUUGAUCGGGCUGGGUUCAGCCCAGCCCAGCCCGGCUCAGCUUGGUUUGGCUCGGCUCAGGUCGAUCGGACUGGGUUCAGCCUGGCUUGGCUCGGCCCAGCUCAGCUCAGCUCAGCUCGGAUUGAUCAGACUGGGUUCAGCUUGGCUCAGCUCAGCCCAGCACGACUCAAUUGGACUGGGUUCAGCUCGGAUCGGAUCAGAUCGACUCAGAUCGAUUGGACUGGGUACAGCUCAGCUCAGAUCGGCACGGCUCGACUCGGAUCAGCUCGAUUGGACUGGAUUCGGCUUGGCUUGGAUCAAUUGCUUGGGCUGGGUUCAGCUCAGCUCGCAUCACAUCGGAUUUGCUUGGAUCACAUCGAUUGGACUGGGUUCAGCUCGGAUUGGAUCGAACCAGCGCAGCUGGGCUCAGCUUGGAUUGGCUUGGAUUGGGUCAGCGCUGCCUUGAUCAGAUCAAUCGGAGUGGGGUUGGCUUUGGACUGGGUUCAACUCAGCUCAGCUCAGCUUGGUUGGGCUGGGUUCAGUUUGGCACAGGUCGAAUCAGCUUGGAUCAGAUUGGAUCGAUUGGGCUGGGUAUGGCUUGGCUCAGUGCGACUCGGAUCAGACCAGAUCAUUUUGGAUCAGAUUAGAUCACUUCGUUUCAGCUCAGCUCGAUUCGGAUCACAUCAGUUCAGCUCAGCUCAAUUUGGAUUGGAUCAGCUCAGUUCAACUCUGCUCAGCUGGGUUUGGCUCAACUCAGCUCAGUAUGAUUCGGAUCAGAUCGGUUUGAUUCUGCUCAGCUCGGCACAGCACGGCCUGGUUCAAUUCAGCUCAGCUCAACCUACCUUGGCUUGGCUGGAUCUGGCUCAGCUCAAUUCGGCUUGGUUCAGCUCAGUUUGGCUCAGCUCAGCAGAGCUCGGAUCGGUUUGGCUCGGCUGUGUUCAGCUGGGCUCGGCUCAGUGGGCACAUGGCACUCACAGCACACGAAUGGAUCCAUGCAAACCUCCCCCCACGUGUACCUGCGUGCAUGCACGCCCACAAGCGCACGUGGGUGCACGCACACCCGUGGCCACAUACACAUGCACACAUACGUGGGUGCGCAGCCCCCAGCACCCGCGCCUGGACGUGCGUGCAUGUGCACGUGUUUGUGUGCAUGCACCCGCCUAUCUGUGUGCACACAUACCCUACAUGUGUGCGCGCACACACACUCAAGUACACACAUCCCCAUGGACACACACACACAGGUGCACGUGUGUGCACACGGUCCCCAUGUGCAUGCACACCCAUAUGGAUCCACUCCCCCACGUAUACACAGCUGUGCGCACAAGCACGCACAAAUACCCCAUGCACGCACAGAGGCAAGCACACAAAUGCGCACACACGUGUCCAUGCACACGCGUGCACACAGACCCC
RNAcentral lists this long non-coding RNA (1536 nucleotides) under Struthio camelus australis. RNAcentral's name for it is "lncRNA (ENSSCUG00000004380.1)". Lineage: Eukaryota; Metazoa; Chordata; Aves; Struthioniformes; Struthionidae. The record is from RNAcentral.